This 504-nucleotide ribosomal RNA is filed under the name uncultured bacterium. Its description in RNAcentral is "bacterial SSU rRNA". It matches the Rfam family "Bacterial small subunit ribosomal RNA", at positions 29 to 527 of the family's 1533-position model. The record is from RNAcentral.
AUUGAACGCUGGCGGAAUGCUUUACACAUGCAAGUCGAACGGCAGCACGGGGGCAACCCUGGUGGCGAGUGGCGAACGGGUGAGUAAUACAUCGGAACGUGCCCAGUCGUGGGGGAUAACGUAGCGAAAGCUACGCUAAUACCGCAUACGAUCUCUGGAUGAAAGCGGGGGACCGCAAGGCCUCGCGCGAUUGGAGCGGCCGAUGGCAGAUUAGGUAGUUGGUGGGGUAAAGGCUCACCAAGCCGACGAUCUGUAGCUGGUCUGAGAGGACGACCAGCCACACUGGGACUGAGACACGGCCCAGACUCCUACGGGAGGCAGCAGUGGGGAAUUUUGGACAAUGGGCGAAAGCCUGAUCCAGCCAUUCCGCGUGCAGGAUGAAGGCCCUCGGGUUGUAAACUGCUUUUGUACGGAACGAAACGGUCCUGGUUAAUACCUGGGGCUAAUGACGGUACCGUAAGAAUAAGCACCGGCUAACUACGUGCCAGCAGCCGCGGUAAAGAG